RNAcentral lists this ribosomal RNA (489 nucleotides) under uncultured bacterium. RNAcentral's name for it is "partial 16S ribosomal RNA". It matches the Rfam family "Bacterial small subunit ribosomal RNA", at positions 28 to 507 of the family's 1533-position model. The record is from RNAcentral.
GAUGAACGCUAGCUACAGGCUUAACACAUGCAAGUCGCAGGGUAACAUGAGGAAAGCUUGCUUUCCUUGAUGACGACUGGCGCACGGGUGAGUAACGCGUAUCCAACCUUCCCAUAACUACGGGAUAACCCGUUGAAAGACGGCCUAAUACCGUAUGAUAUCGUUUGCUGACAUCAAAUAACGAUUAAAGGUUUAGCGGUUAUGGAUGGGGAUGCGUCUGAUUAGCUUGUUGGCGGGGUAACGGCCCACCAAGGCGACGAUCAGUAGGGGUUCUGAGAGGAAGGUCCCCCACAUUGGAACUGAGACACGGUCCAAACUCCUACGGAGGCAGCAGUGAGGAAUAUUGGUCAAUGGGCGAGAGCCUGAACCAGCCAAGUAGCGUGCAGGACGACGGCCCUAUGGGUUGUAAACUGCUUUUAUGGGGGGAUAAAGUGCGUGACGUGUCAUGCAUUGCAGGUACCACAUGAAUAAGGACCGGCUAAUUCCGUG